Molecule: ribosomal RNA, 216 nt
Filed under: Glomeromycotina sp.
Lineage: Eukaryota; Fungi; Glomeromycota
Description: partial small subunit ribosomal RNA
Rfam family: Eukaryotic small subunit ribosomal RNA (bases 40-216)
Source: RNAcentral
GGGUCAGUAGGUUGGUCUUGCCACCGGUACGUACUGGUCUCACUGAUUCCUCCUUCCUGAAGAACCGUAAUGCCAUUAAUUUGGUGUUGCGGGGAAACAGGACUGUUACUUUGAAAAAAUUAGAGUGUUUAAAGCAAGCUAACGCUUGAAUACAUUAGCAUGGAAUAAUGAAAUAGUACGAUCGAUCCUAUUUUGUUGGUUUCUAGGAUUGACGUA